Molecule: ribosomal RNA, 417 nt
Filed under: uncultured bacterium
Lineage: Bacteria
Description: bacterial SSU rRNA
Rfam family: Bacterial small subunit ribosomal RNA
Source: RNAcentral
UAUUGGUCAAUGGGCGAGAGCUUGAACCAGCCAAGUAGCGUGCAGGAUGACGGCCCUAUGGGUUGUAAACUGCUUUUAUAAGGGAAUACAGUGAGCCUCGUGAGGCUUCUUGCAUGUACCUUAUGAAUAAGGACCGGCUAAUUCCGUGCCAGCAGCCGCGGUAAUACGGAAGGUCCGGGCGUUAUCCGGAUUUAUUGGGUUUAAAGGGAGCGUAGGCCGGAGAUUAAGCGUGUUGUGAAAUGUAGAUGCUCAACAUCUGCACUGCAGCGCGAACUGGUUUCCUUGAGUACGCACAAAGUGGGCGGAAUUCGUGGUGUAGCGGUGAAAUGCUUAGGUAUCACGAAGAACUCCGAUUGCGAAGGCAGCUCACUGGAGCGCAACUGACGCUGAAGCUCGAAAGUGCGGGUAUCGAGCAGG